GCCUGGGUGGCUCAGUUGGUAGAGCGUCUGACUUUGGCUCAGGUCAUGAUCUUGUGGUUUGUGGGUUCGAAUCCCAAGUCGGGCU
Molecule: transfer RNA, 85 nt
Organism: Felis catus (domestic cat)
Lineage: Eukaryota; Metazoa; Chordata; Mammalia; Carnivora; Felidae
Rfam family: tRNA
About the family: Transfer RNA (tRNA) molecules are approximately 80 nucleotides in length. Their secondary structure includes four short double-helical elements and three loops (D, anti-codon, and T loops).
Source: Rfam